This 418-nucleotide ribosomal RNA is filed under the name uncultured Bacteroidota bacterium. RNAcentral's name for it is "bacterial SSU rRNA". It matches the Rfam family "Bacterial small subunit ribosomal RNA", at positions 608 to 1029 of the family's 1533-position model. The record is from RNAcentral. Lineage: Bacteria; Pseudomonadati; Bacteroidota.
CUUAACUGUGGAAUUGCCUUUGAUACUGCAUAUCUUGAGUCUGGUUGAGGUAGGCGGAAUGUAGUAUGUAGCGGUGAAAUGCAUAGAUAUACUACAGAACACCCAUUGCGAAGGCAGCUUACCAAACCAGCACUGACGCUCAGGCACGAAAGCGUGGGGAGCAAACAGGAUUAGAUACCCUGGUAGUCCACGCCGUAAACGUUGAUCACUCGUUGUUGGCAAUACACCGUCAGCGACUAAGCAAAAGCAUUAAGUGAUCCACCUGGGGAGUACGAUCGCAAGGUUGAAACUCAAAGGAAUUGACGGGGGCCCGCACAAGCGGAGGAGCAUGUGGUUUAAUUCGAUGAUACGCGAGGAACCUUACCCGGGCUUAAAUGUAGGGUGCAUUGGUGUGAAAACACCAUUUCCUUCGGGACUC